Molecule: ribosomal RNA, 260 nt
Filed under: uncultured prokaryote
Description: partial 16S ribosomal RNA
Rfam family: Bacterial small subunit ribosomal RNA
Source: RNAcentral
UACGUAGGUGGCGAGCGUUGUCCGGAUUUACUGGGCGUAAAGGGAGCGCAGACGGAACUGCAAGUCUGAUGUGAAAGCCCGGGGCUCAACCGCGGGACUGCAUCGGAUACUGUGGAUCUGGAGUGCCGGAGGGCAAGCGGAAUUCCUGGUGUAGCGGUGAAAUGCGUAGAUAUCAGGAGGAACACCGGCGGCGAAGGCGGCUUGCUGGACGGCAACUGACGUCGAGGCUCGAAAGCGUGGGGAGCAAACAGGAUUAGAUA